Molecule: ribosomal RNA, 492 nt
Filed under: uncultured bacterium
Lineage: Bacteria
Description: partial 16S ribosomal RNA
Rfam family: Bacterial small subunit ribosomal RNA
Source: RNAcentral
AGUGAACGCUGGCGGUAGGCCUAACACAUGCAAGUCGAACGGCAGCACAGUAAGAGCUUGCUCUUGCGGGUGGCGAGUGGCGGACGGGUGAGGAAUACAUCGGAAUCUACUUUUUCGUGGGGGAUAACGUAGGGAAACUUACGCUAAUACCGCAUACGACCUACGGGUGAAAGUAGGGGAUCUUCGGACCUUGCGCGAUUGAAUGAGCCGAUGUCGGAUUAGCUAGUUGGCGGGGUAAAGGCCCACCAAGGCGACGAUCCGUAGCUGGUCUGAGAGGAUGAUCAGCCACACUGGAACUGAGACACGGUCCAGACUCCUACGGGAGGCAGCAGUGGGGAAUAUUGGACAAUGGGCGCAAGCCUGAUCCAGCCAUACCGCGUGAGUGAAGAAGGCCUUCGGGUUGUAAAACCCUUUUGUUGGGAAAGAAAAGCAGCAGGUUAAUACCCCGCUGUUCUGACGGUACCCAAAGAAUAAGCACCGGCUAACUUCGUG